RNAcentral lists this long non-coding RNA (1516 nucleotides) under Monodelphis domestica (gray short-tailed opossum). RNAcentral's name for it is "lncRNA (ENSMODG00000049512.1)". Lineage: Eukaryota; Metazoa; Chordata; Mammalia; Didelphimorphia; Didelphidae. The record is from RNAcentral.
CUUAUUUAGUCAUUCUACAAUAGAUGGACAUCCUCUCAAUUUCCAGUUCUUUGCCACCACAAAGAAAGCUGCUAUGAAUAUUUUAGAUCAUAAAUAAAGACCCCCUUUUCUUCAUUGGAUGUAAAAUCUAAAGACCAGAAAGUCAUUCCCUAAGGAAGGGGCUUGAGCCAGGACAGCACUGAAAAAGCUCAGAGAAGGCCGGAAUGACAUGGGAAAGGACCAAAGAAAGACAGUCACCAUUCCAUGACCCCCACAGCAUGCAUAUUUAUUGCAAUCCUAACUAGGAAUCUAAUGGGAAGGCCCGAGAAAAAGAAGUUUUUGAAAAAGAUAAAAAGUUAAACUGGGAAGGAUACCGUAUGCCAUUGGUAGGAUAGAGAAACCAGGGACACUUGAAAGGUGGUCAGGGUCCAUCAAAAGCUAGAAAGUAGAACAGGGAAUUUAAACCAAGUUUGCAUGUGUGUGUUUUGUCUUUAUCGUUAUUCUAUUUGCUCUACUCUCUUAAAAAGGCUACAUAAUUAUUUUUGGAGGGGUCCCUAUUCUUGGAGGAGGACAGGGAUAGGAUAGUCCAAUGUUGCCAUUGUGGAUUUGAGAUCCCUGAAAUAGAAGAUCCAGCUUUAAAUCAAAGCAGUACCCUUCAUUAAAUAGCUUUCAGCCAAAUAGGACAGAAAGGACAGGUCAAAAUUAAUUUCAUGUUCAUUCAUUGUUGUUUAGUCAUUUCAGUCGUGCCUAACUCUUUGUGACCUGAUUGGAGGUUUUCUUGGCAAAGACAUUGGAGUGGUUUGCCAUUUCCUUUUCCGGCUCAUUUUAAAGAUGAGGAACUGAGAUCUCAGGAAACAGGAGGACGCCACUGCCCUUCUUUAAUUUUUAGAAGCUCUGGAGGGUUUAGCCCCAGCCUUGAACACUUCUGUCCCUAUCAACUUGGAUGCCACUUGUUCAACAGUCUACAGUCUACCUGUGUGGGAAUAAUGAACUGCAGGAAUUCCAUGUGAACUGGAAUGACCUCCAGGAAGUGAUGCAGAGUGAAAGGAGCAGAACCAGGAGAACAUUGUACACAGAGACUGACACACUGUGGUACAAUCUAAUGUAAUGGACUUCUCUAUUAGUAGCAAUGCAAUGAUCCGGGACAAUUUUGAGGGACUUAUGAGAAAGAACAUUAUCCACAUCCAGAGGAAGAGCUGUGGGAGUAGAAACACAGAAGAAAAACAACUGCUUGAUCACAUGGGUCGAUGGGAAUAGGAUUGGGGAUAUAGGCUCUAAACGAUCACCGUAGUGCAAAUAUCAAUAAUAAGGAAAUAGGUUGGGGGUAGGGGAGGGAAAGAACAUGAAUCAUGUAUCCAUGGGAAAAUAUUCUUCUUUAUAUAUUUUUAAUUAAAAAAAUAUUCUAAAUUAAUUAAAUACAAUUUUCCAAAUUAGAAAAAAACAACAACAAUGUAAUCUCCUUGAAACAGGGAUUGUUUUCUUUUAGGGCUUAGCACAGUGCUUGGAACCUAAGCACUUAAUAAAUGCUUAUUCUUUU